RNAcentral lists this ribosomal RNA (762 nucleotides) under Flavobacterium sp. N4_98_7. Its description in RNAcentral is "bacterial SSU rRNA". It matches the Rfam family "Bacterial small subunit ribosomal RNA", at positions 57 to 820 of the family's 1533-position model. The record is from RNAcentral. Lineage: Bacteria; Pseudomonadati; Bacteroidota; Flavobacteriia; Flavobacteriales; Flavobacteriaceae.
GCAAGUCGAGGGGUAUGCUUCUUCGGAAGCAGAGACCGGCGCACGGGUGCGUAACGCGUAUGCAAUCUACCUUUCACAAAGGGAUAGCCCAGAGAAAUUUGGAUUAAUACCUUAUAGUAAUACGACUUGGCAUCAAGAUGUAUUUAAAGAUUUAUCGGUGAAAGAUGAGCAUGCGUCCCAUUAGCUAGUUGGUAUGGUAACGGCAUACCAAGGCUACGAUGGGUAGGGGUCCUGAGAGGGAGAUCCCCCACACUGGUACUGAGACACGGACCAGACUCCUACGGGAGGCAGCAGUGAGGAAUAUUGGACAAUGGGCGCAAGCCUGAUCCAGCCAUGCCGCGUGCAGGAUGACGGUCCUAUGGAUUGUAAACUGCUUUUGUACAGGAAGAAACCCUUUCACGUGUGGAAGAUUGACGGUACUGUAAGAAUAAGGAUCGGCUAACUCCGUGCCAGCAGCCGCGGUAAUACGGAGGAUCCAAGCGUUAUCCGGAAUCAUUGGGUUUAAAGGGUCCGUAGGCGGUCAGAUAAGUCAGUGGUGAAAGCCCAUCGCUCAACGGUGGAACGGCCAUUGAUACUGUCUGACUUGAAUUAUUAGGAAGUAACUAGAAUAUGUAGUGUAGCGGUGAAAUGCUUAGAGAUUACAUGGAAUACCAAUUGCGAAGGCAGGUUACUACUAAUGGAUUGACGCUGAUGGACGAAAGCGUGGGUAGCGAACAGGAUUAGAUACCCUGGUAGUCCACGCCGUAAACGAUGGAUACUAGC